Molecule: signal recognition particle RNA, 299 nt
Filed under: Cebus imitator (Panamanian white-faced capuchin)
Lineage: Eukaryota; Metazoa; Chordata; Mammalia; Primates; Cebidae
Description: Metazoan signal recognition particle RNA (ENSCCAG00000007804.1)
Rfam family: Metazoan signal recognition particle RNA
About the family: The signal recognition particle (SRP) is a universally conserved ribonucleoprotein. It is involved in the co-translational targeting of proteins to membranes.
Source: RNAcentral
GCCGGGUGCAGUGGUGCGUGCCUGUAGUCCCAACUACUCGGGAGGCUGAGGUGGGAGGAUCGCUUGAGCCCAGGAGUUCUGGGCUGCAGUGUGCUAUGCCGAUCGGGUGUCUGCACUAAGUUCGGCAUCAAUAUGGUGACCUCUCGGGAGCGGGGGACCACCAGGUUGCCUAAGGAGGGUUGAACCGGCCCAGGUCGGAAACGGAGCACGUCAAAACUCCCUUGCUGAUCAGUAGUGGGAUCGUGCCUGUGAAUAGCCACUGCACUCUAGCCUGGGCAACAUAGCAAGACCCUGUCUCU